This 372-nucleotide ribosomal RNA is filed under the name uncultured organism. RNAcentral's name for it is "bacterial SSU rRNA". It matches the Rfam family "Bacterial small subunit ribosomal RNA", at positions 526 to 896 of the family's 1533-position model. The record is from RNAcentral.
CGUAGGGUGCGAGCGUUAAUCGGAAUUACUGGGCGUAAAGCGUGCGCAGGCGGUUUAGUAAGACAGGCGUGAAAUCCCCGGGCUCAACCUGGGAACUGCGCUUGUGACUGCUAAGCUAGAGUACGGCAGAGGGGGGUGGAAUUCCACGUGUAGCAGUGAAAUGCGUAGAGAUGUGGAGGAACACCAAUGGCGAAGGCAGCCCCCUGGGUCGAUACUGACGCUCAUGCACGAAAGCGUGGGUAGCAAACAGGAUUAGAUACCCUGGUGGUCCACGCCCUAAACGAUGUCAACUAGGUGUUGGGAGGGUAAAACCUUUUAGUACCGGAGCUAACGCGUGAAGUUGACCGCCUGGGGAGUACGGCCGCAAGGUUA